This 83-nucleotide transfer RNA is filed under the name Xenopus laevis (African clawed frog). It matches the Rfam family "tRNA". From Rfam's summary of the family: Transfer RNA (tRNA) molecules are approximately 80 nucleotides in length. Their secondary structure includes four short double-helical elements and three loops (D, anti-codon, and T loops). The record is from Rfam by way of RNAcentral. Lineage: Eukaryota; Metazoa; Chordata; Amphibia; Anura; Pipidae.
ACCAGGAUGGCCGAGUGGUCAAGGCGUUGGACUUAAGAUCCAAUGGAUGUUUAUUUGCGUGGGUGCAAACCCCACUCCUGGUA